GACGAACGCUGGCGGCAUGCCUAAUACAUGCAAGUCGAGCGGACUUGAUGAGAAGCUUGCUUCUCAGAUAGUUAGCGGCGGACGGGUGAGUAACACGUAGGCAACCUGCCCUCAAGCUUGGGACAGCUACCGGAAACGGUAGCUAAUACCGAAUACUUGUUUUCUUCGCCUGAAGGAAACUGGAAAGACGGAGUAAUCUGUCACUUGGGGAUGGGCCUGCGGCGCAUUAGCUAGUUGGUGGGGUAACGGCUCACCAAGGCGACGAUGCGUAGCCGCCCUGAGAGGGUGCUCGGCCACACUGGGACUGAGAAACGGCCCAGACUCCUACGGGAGGCAGCAGUAGGGAAUCUUCCGCAAUGGGCGAAAGCCUGACGGAGCAAUGCCGCGUGAGUGACGAAGGUUUUCGGAUCGUAAAGCUCUGUUGCCAGGGAAGAACGCUUGGGAGAGUAACUGCUCCCAAGGUGACGGUACCUGAGAAGAAAGCCCCGGCUAACUACGUGCCAGCCGCCGCGGUAA
Molecule: ribosomal RNA, 516 nt
Filed under: uncultured bacterium
Lineage: Bacteria
Description: partial 16S ribosomal RNA
Rfam family: Bacterial small subunit ribosomal RNA
Source: RNAcentral